AUUGAACGCUGGCGGCAUGCCUUACACAUGCAAGUCGAACGGCAGCACGGGUGCUUGCACCUGGUGGCGAGUGGCGAACGGGUGAGUAAUAUAUCGGAACGUGCCCUAGAGUGGGGGGAUAACGCAGCGAAAGCUGUGCUAAUACCGCAUAUUAUCUGAGGAUGAAAGCGGGGGACUAAGCAGCAAUGUUUGGCCUCGCGCCUUUGGAGCGGCCGAUGUCAGAUUAGGUAGUUGGUGGGGUAAAGGCCUACCAAGCCGACGAUCUGUAGCUGGUCUGAGAGGACGACCAGCCACACUGGGACUGAGACACGGCCCAGACUCCUACGGGAGGCAGCAGUGGGGAAUUUUGGACAAUGGGCGCAAGCCUGAUCCAGCAAUGCCGCGUGCAGGAAGAAGG
RNAcentral lists this ribosomal RNA (397 nucleotides) under uncultured bacterium. RNAcentral describes it as "bacterial SSU rRNA". It matches the Rfam family "Bacterial small subunit ribosomal RNA", at positions 30 to 414 of the family's 1533-position model. The record is from RNAcentral.